Molecule: long non-coding RNA, 871 nt
Organism: Amblyraja radiata (thorny skate)
Lineage: Eukaryota; Metazoa; Chordata; Chondrichthyes; Rajiformes; Rajidae
Exons: 2
Source: RefSeq, a predicted model, not a curated record
GGCCUUCUCUCGCCUCCCAACCCCCCCCCACCACCCCCACCUCUAUCUUUCAGUCCAAAGAAGGGUUCCGACCUGAAAUAUCACCUAUUCCUUUUCUCCAGAAUGAAUCCCACAUCUCCCUCCCAAAGACAAAAUAACCUUUCUGCCAUCUCAAGAACAGAAUCAUAACUAACUUAACUACCAUCACUUCUGUGCAUUCUUUCUUUGACUUUAGACUUUAGAGAUUCAGCGCUGAAACAGGCCCUUCUGCCCAUCGAGCCCGAGUCGAUCAGCAAUCACCCUUUACACUAAAACAUUAUCCGACACAUUAGGGACAAUUUAGCGAGGGCAAUGAACCCAUAAACAUGUACGUCUUUGGAAUGUGGGAGGAAACUGGAGCAUCCGUAGAAAAAACGCGCGGUCACAGGGAGAACGUACAGACUCCGCACAGACAGCACCCGUAGUCGGGAUCGAACCCGGGUCUCUGGCGCUGUGAGGCAGAAACUCUACCGCUGCGCCACCGUGCGCGCCAAAACUACCUGAGUACGCUGGAUUGUUGCACACAACUGAAAAGUGGAGUUAAGCCAACCACGUUGCUAUAGAUAUAGUAAGGAUCUGUGAAUGGGGAAUAUGUUUGUGUGUGUUGUGUUUGGUGACUUUGAAUUGGAUGCAGUCAGAGUUGGGAGAGUUUUUUAAUUCACUUUUUACUUGGUGGCAUUUGGCUGUACGUUCUGCAGAGAAGCGACAUUGGGAAUCGUGAAUGCAUUGAUUGUAGCGAUUUUUACACCAGAAUCUGUUAUUUGUAUUUGCCGAUCUCCAUACUAUCCAGUGUGCCAUAUUAUUGUAUGAAUGUAGCAGAUUCUUAAUAAAUAGUUGCAUUCAAUGCAAACUA